UACAGCCCCAACAGCAGCUCCAACAGUCCAGUGUGACAGCUGUGUCUCCAUUGAACAGGUGUUUAUUUCUUCACUAACCAUACAAUCUGGAUGACAAUAACCCAAACAAAGUUGUUGUCUAUUCUAUUUUUUUUCAUUGUAAUUCUAAGUUGUGUCUCAACUCAAGUGUCAAUGUGAACUCGCGUCUCUUAUGAACAAUGUUUGUCUCAAUCUUGGAGAGAAGAGUUUCAGUGAAUUAGAGGACUUCAAUGAAGAAUGUGAGGACACAAGUUGUGAGGAAAGAGAAGAGCGUUUGCGUGAGAUACAGGAGCUCAGCAAAGACUACCAGAACACUAAAUGGCUCUUCGAAGAGGCAAAAAAGGCAGCAGACUGGUUGGAUGAAAACAGUGGGCUGAUAAAAAAUAAAUAUUGGCUGCCACGGGUGUUGGACAUGGAGGCGGAAGAGCAGGAGGAGGUGCUGGC
Long non-coding RNA from Alosa sapidissima (American shad), 462 nucleotides. RefSeq lists it as uncharacterized. Lineage: Eukaryota; Metazoa; Chordata; Actinopteri; Clupeiformes; Clupeidae. The transcript is spliced from 3 exons. The record is from RefSeq and is a predicted model, not a curated record.